GGACCCGCACAAGCGGUGGAUGAUGUGGUUUAAUUCGAUGCAACGCGAAAAACCUUACCCACCUUUGACAUGUACGGAAUUUGCCAGAGAUGGCUUAGUGCUCGAAAGAGAACCGUAACACAGGUGCUGCAUGGCUGUCGUCAGCUCGUGUCGUGAGAUGUUGGGUUAAGUCCCGCAACGAGCGCAACCCUUGCCAUUAGUUGCUACGAAAGGGCACUCUAAUGGGACUGCCGGUGACAAACCGGAGGAAGGUGGGGAUGACGUCAAGUCCUCAUGGCCCUUAUAGGUGGGGCUACACACGUCAUACAAUGGCCGGUACAAAGGGUAGCCAACCCGCGAGGGGGAGCCAAUCCCAUAAAGCCGGUCGUAGUCCGGAUCGCAGUCUGCAACUCGACUGCGUGAAGUCGGAAUCGCUAGUAAUCGUGGAUCAGCAUGUCACGGUGAAUACGUUCCCGGGUCUUGUACACACCGCCCGUCACACCAUGGGAGCGGGUCUCGCCAGAAGUAGUUAGCCUAACCGCAAGGAGGGCGAUUACCACGGCGGGGUUCGUGACUGGGGUGAAGUCGUAACAAGGUAGCCGUAUCGGAAGGUGCGGCU
This 598-nucleotide ribosomal RNA is filed under the name uncultured Comamonadaceae bacterium. RNAcentral's name for it is "bacterial SSU rRNA". It matches the Rfam family "Bacterial small subunit ribosomal RNA", at positions 917 to 1519 of the family's 1533-position model. Lineage: Bacteria; Pseudomonadati; Pseudomonadota; Betaproteobacteria; Burkholderiales; Comamonadaceae. The record is from RNAcentral.